UGAAAGCCGCCGUUCGUGGUGGGAGCGGGGCCGGGGCCGGACGCUGGGGGCCGGGGCGCCCGCGUCGAAGCGGGCGGCCACGUGUCCCGGCUGUGCCUUGGCCGCGCUGCCCGCGUGGGAGCCGAGGCCCGGACCCGGCCCGGCGGCGCCCGUCUCCGGCGUUCAAUUAUAUCUCGAAAAUAACUUUUAAAAUUGUGUAACGUGCUCUCGUGUGCAUAUCCCUUACGGGUUUGGGGCUUCGUGGACUUUGCAGCCCGCCUCAGUCCUUUGUUGCCUAGGGAGCCACGAGGGAAUUGGUUCCCUGGACAAACGUUUUCUGAGCGGGUGCUGCGUGCUAGGCACAGUGCCUGCGCGGGAUGCCCGGACUUGGUGCCCAGAGAUCGUCAGCGGGAGAAGUGAGAAGCAGCUUCAUGGAUUCCAGGUAAAUCGGAGGAGCAAGCAUCAUGAACAGAAGUAUGUACAGGAAAUGCGGUGGUGCUGAAGCCUAAGCGAUGUUGCAGAAGUCCAGGACCUGGUGCGCUUACCAGUUGGGAAUGUAUUAUUUCCCAAAUCACCUAAUCUUUCCUCAUGCUUAUAGGAGAAAAAUUCGCAGACUUCUCUUCUGAGGAUCCAGGGACGUAGAACAAUAACGCGAGGUGGCACAUCUCUUACCUAGUAUGUAGCAUUGGCUUGGAAGCUUAGAUGUCUUUCUUACUGUCAGACGUUUUAUUGAGAACACAGCUGUCAUCAUAAGAUUACAAGUAAACCCUGAGCAGGAAGAAUACCUGGCCUGCGUUCUGGGAACUUACAAUCGAAUAAAUCUUUCGCCUUCUAAAACCACCAUUGAGGGCGCUUGGGUGGCUCAGUCAGUUGAGCGUCUGACUUGAUUUCAGCUCCUGUCACGAUCUCUCGGUCCGUGGGU
Molecule: long non-coding RNA, 901 nt
Organism: Lynx canadensis (Canada lynx)
Lineage: Eukaryota; Metazoa; Chordata; Mammalia; Carnivora; Felidae
Exons: 4
Source: RefSeq, a predicted model, not a curated record